GUGAGGAAUUUUCCGCAAUGGGCGAAAGCCUGACGGAGCAAUGCCGCGUGAAGGAUGAAGGCCUAUGGGUUGUAAACUUCUUUUCUCAGAAAAGAAUUAUGACGGUAUCUGAGGAAUAAGCAUCGGCUAACUCUGUGCCAGCAGCCGCGGUAAGACAGAGGAUGCAAGCGUUAUCCGGAAUGAUUGGGCGUAAAGCGUCUGUAGGUUGUUUAAAAAGUAUUCUGUCAAAGAUUAGGGCUUAACCCUAGAUAGGCAGAAUAAACUUUUAAGCUAGAGUUUGGUAGAGGCAGAGGGAAUUCCCGGUGGAGCGGUGAGAUGCGUAGAUAUCGGGAGGAACACCAAAGGCGAAGGCACUCUGCUGGGCCAAUACUAACACUGAGAGACGAAAGCGAGGGGAGCAAAUGGGAUUAGAAACCCCGGUAGUCC
Molecule: ribosomal RNA, 426 nt
Filed under: uncultured bacterium
Lineage: Bacteria
Description: partial 16S ribosomal RNA
Rfam family: Bacterial small subunit ribosomal RNA
Source: RNAcentral